CUUUGCAAUGAUGUAUUAAGGGUCAGUCAUUCCAAGUUUGGCAUGAAUGAAUAGAUUUGUAUUUCGCCACCAAAGUAUCUCGCCGAGAACUCUCUUGAGUGGCGGUUUGUUGGAUGGCAAAAUUACUAUGAUUUUGUAAAAGGGAUCCUUCGAUGCUUUUGUUUUGUGACGCUGGCAAUACAUUGUUAUAAAUAUUGGAGUAGCUUCAUAUUUGGAUGUGGUGCACCAUUCAAACAACUGAGAUUCACGGAGUCUAUUUCUAUGAAGCAACCAAUUUGAGAUACGACAAGUUGAGGGAUCGCCGAUAUACAAUUUUAUACACUACACAAAUCUUUGAGCCAUGCCAAGGAAUGUACAUGUUGAAAUCUUACUAUGUUAUUGGUCCGUAUUAUUUAUUGUUUAAUUUGUGAGUGAGAGUAUUCUUCUUCAUUUUAUUAAUUAUCUUUUCGACAAAUGUAAUUUGGUUUUAUAUUGUGUGUAUGUGUACAUUGUUUUUUGUAUGUUUAUAUCAAAUGAGUUUUUCCGUGACGUCACGUAUAUAUGUAUAAUUGAUUAUUUUUGCUUUCGAAAUAUUUUAUUUUAUGGUAUCGCAAUUGUUCCGAGAUCAUUUUUCUCAAAAAUUCUAAUUGUAACAAUUUCAUAUUUAUAAUUUUUCUAUAUAAACUUUUUUAUUGAGAAA
Long non-coding RNA from Leptopilina heterotoma, 679 nucleotides. RefSeq lists it as uncharacterized. The record is from RefSeq and is a predicted model, not a curated record. The transcript is spliced from 2 exons. NCBI's taxonomy places the organism in Eukaryota, Metazoa, Arthropoda, Insecta, Hymenoptera, Figitidae.